ACACCAACAAACGCCAGGGUACUACGAGCCCAGCUUAAAACCCAAAGGACUUGACGGUGUCCCACCCAACUAGAGGAGCCUGUUCUAUAAUCGAUAAUCCACGAUAUACCUAACCGUUUCUUGCCAAUCAGUCUGUAUACCUCCGUCGUAAGCUUACCGUGUGAACGCACAAUAGUAGGCUCAAGGGCUUUAACGCCAUAACGUCAGGUCAAGGUGCAACUCAUGAAACGGAAGCUAUGGGCUACAAUUUCUAACCUAGAACAAACGAAAUACUACAUGAAACAUAGUCAUGAAGGCGGAUUUAGUAGUAAGUAGGAAAUAGAGAGUCCUACUAAACUUGGCCAUGGGACG
RNAcentral lists this ribosomal RNA (351 nucleotides) under Rhacophorus reinwardtii (Reinwardt's flying frog). RNAcentral's name for it is "partial 12S ribosomal RNA". It matches the Rfam family "Bacterial small subunit ribosomal RNA", at positions 857 to 1381 of the family's 1533-position model. The record is from RNAcentral. Lineage: Eukaryota; Metazoa; Chordata; Amphibia; Anura; Rhacophoridae.